CGGACGGGUGAGUAACGCGUGGGGAACCUGCCCUGUACCGGGGGAUAGCAGCCGGAAACGGCUGAUAAUACCGCAUAAGCGCACGAAUGUCGCAUGACAUGGUGUGAAAAACUCCGGUGGUAUAGGAUGGACCCGCGUCUGAUUAGCCGGUUGGUGGGGUAAAAGCCUACCAAAGCGAAGAUCAGUAGCCGAGUUGAGAGACUGACCGGCCACAUUGGGACUGAGACACGGCCCAGACUCCUACGGGAGGCAGCAGCA
This 258-nucleotide ribosomal RNA is filed under the name uncultured bacterium. RNAcentral describes it as "partial 16S ribosomal RNA". It matches the Rfam family "Bacterial small subunit ribosomal RNA", at positions 99 to 355 of the family's 1533-position model. The record is from RNAcentral.